Molecule: ribosomal RNA, 497 nt
Filed under: uncultured bacterium
Lineage: Bacteria
Description: partial 16S ribosomal RNA
Rfam family: Bacterial small subunit ribosomal RNA
Source: RNAcentral
GAUGAACGCUGGCGGCGUGCCUAAUACAUGCAAGUCGAGCGAACGGACGAGAAGCUUGCUUCUCUGAUGUUAGCGGCGGACGGGUGAGUAACACGUGGAUAACCUACCUAUAAGACUGGGAUAACUUCGGGAAACCGGAGCUAAUACCGGAUGAUAUUUUGAACCGCAUGGUUCAAAAGUGAAAGACGGUCUCGCUGUCACUUAUAGAUGGAUCCGCGCUGCAUUAGCUAGUUGGUAAGGUAACGGCUUACCAAGGCAACGAUGCAUAGCCGACCUGAGAGGGUGAUCGGCCACACUGGAACUGAGACACGGUCCAGACUCCUACGGGAGGCAGCAGUAGGGAAUCUUCCGCAAUGGGCGAAAGCCUGACGGAGCAACGCCGCGUGAGUGAUGAAGGUCUUCGGAUCGUAAAACUCUGUUAUUAGGGAAGAACAUAUGUGUAAGUAACUGUGCACAUCUUGACGGUACCAAAUCAGAAAGCCACGGCUAACUACGUG